GUGAGGAAUUUUCCGCAAUGGGCGAAAGCCUGACGGAGCAAUGCCGCGUGGAGGAUGACAGCCCGUGGGUCGUAAACUCCUUUUCUCAGAGAAGAAGUUCUGACGGUAUCUGAGGAAUAAGCAUCGGCUAACUCUGUGCCAGCAGCCGCGGUAAUACAGAGGAUGCAAGCGUUAUCCGGAAUGAUUGGGCGUAAAGCGUCUGUAGGUGGUUUAUUAAGUCUACUGUUAAAUAUCAGGGCUUAACCCUGAGCAGGCAGUGGAAACUAAUAAGCUUGAGUACGGUAGGGGCAGAGGGAAUUCCCGGUGUAGCGGUGAAAUGCGUAGAGAUCGGGAAGAACACCAAUAGCGAAAGCACUCUGCUGGGCCGAAACUGACACUGAGAGACGAAAGCUAGGGGAGCGAAUGGGAUUAGAUACCCCAGUAGUCCUAGCCGUAAACGAUGGAUACUAAGUGCUGUGCGAUUCAAAACGUCCAGUACUGUAGCUAACGCGUGAAGUAUCCCGCCUGGGGAGUAUGCUCGCAAGGG
Molecule: ribosomal RNA, 526 nt
Filed under: uncultured Chlorella
Lineage: Eukaryota; Viridiplantae; Chlorophyta; Trebouxiophyceae
Description: bacterial SSU rRNA
Rfam family: Bacterial small subunit ribosomal RNA
Source: RNAcentral